This is a non-coding RNA of Cavia porcellus (domestic guinea pig), 74 nucleotides long. NCBI's taxonomy places the organism in Eukaryota, Metazoa, Chordata, Mammalia, Rodentia, Caviidae. The record is from Rfam.
GACCUGCUAGCUCAGUCGGUAGAGUGUGAGACCCAUAAUCUCAGGCUCGUGGGUUCAAGCCUCACCUUGUGUCA